GCCGGUGUAGCUCAGCCCGGUAGAGCGGCGGGCUGUUAACCCGUAGGUCGUGGGUUCAAAUCCCACCACCGGCG
Molecule: transfer RNA, 74 nt
Filed under: archaeon
Lineage: Archaea
Also listed under: 2 other names
Description: tRNA-Asn
Rfam family: tRNA
About the family: Transfer RNA (tRNA) molecules are approximately 80 nucleotides in length. Their secondary structure includes four short double-helical elements and three loops (D, anti-codon, and T loops). Further hydrogen bonds mediate the characteristic L-shaped molecular structure. tRNAs have two regions of fundamental functional importance: the anti-codon, which is responsible for specific mRNA codon recognition, and the 3' end, to which the tRNAs corresponding amino acid is attached (by aminoacyl-tRNA synthetases). tRNAs cope with the degeneracy of the genetic code in two manners: having more than one tRNA (with a specific anti-codon) for a particular amino acid; and 'wobble' base-pairing, i.e. permitting non-standard base-pairing at the 3rd anti-codon position.
Source: RNAcentral